UACGGAGGGUGCAAGCGUUAUCCGGAUUUACUGGGUUUAAAGGGUGCGUAGGCGGGCCAUUAAGUCAGUGGUGAAAGCUCCGAGCUUAACUCGGAAACUGCCGUUGAUACUAUUGGUCUUGAAUUCGGUCGAGGUUGGCGGAAUGUGUCGUGUAGCGGUGAAAUGCUUAGAUAUGACACAGAACACCGAUUGCGAAGGCAGCUAGCUAGACCGACAUUGACGCUGAGGCACGAAAGCGUGGGGAUCAAACAGG
Molecule: ribosomal RNA, 253 nt
Filed under: uncultured bacterium
Lineage: Bacteria
Description: partial 16S ribosomal RNA
Rfam family: Bacterial small subunit ribosomal RNA
Source: RNAcentral